UACGUAGGGUGCAAGCGUUAAUCGGAAUUACUGGGCGUAAAGCGUGCGCAGGCGGUUUUGUAAGACAGGUGUGAAAUCCCCGGGCUUAACCUGGGAACUGCACUUGUGACUGCAAGGCUGGAGUACGGCAGAGGGGGAUGGAAUUCCGCGUGUAGCAGUGAAAUGCGUAGAUAUGAGGAACACCGAUGGCGAAGGCAGUCCCCUGGGCCUGUACUGACGCUCAUGCACGAAAGCGUGGGGAGCAAACAGG
RNAcentral lists this ribosomal RNA (250 nucleotides) under uncultured bacterium. RNAcentral describes it as "partial 16S ribosomal RNA". It matches the Rfam family "Bacterial small subunit ribosomal RNA", at positions 524 to 776 of the family's 1533-position model. The record is from RNAcentral.